CGUUCAGAGGUUACCUCUAUCGUUACCUACGCUACGUAUGUAAUGGGAAUGUAACUGUUAA
Molecule: non-coding RNA, 61 nt
Filed under: unclassified sequences
Description: Transposase-1 RNA
Rfam family: Transposase-1 RNA
About the family: Lactobacillales (Firmicutes).
Source: Rfam by way of RNAcentral